Long non-coding RNA from Mirounga angustirostris (Northern elephant seal), 3912 nucleotides. RefSeq lists it as uncharacterized. The record is from RefSeq and is a predicted model, not a curated record. The transcript is spliced from 5 exons. Lineage: Eukaryota; Metazoa; Chordata; Mammalia; Carnivora; Phocidae.
CGAUGGGAUCUGAGGGAUUUGGGAGGCCUGGGAGUAGUUCCGGGCAGUGAAGCGUGUGGGUGGAGCGCAUGCAGACUCUCUGGUGUGUGCGGGGUGCGGGGAGCGGGAUUAUGGCUCCCAGAGGACCUGGAAGCAGGUUUGGCACGGAGAUAUGUCUCCUUUCCAUUCCCUACUCCUGAAAAGGGGAUCCCAGGUUGUCCCCCAGUGUCCAGGUAGCUCCAGCCACAUCAGCAGAGUCAACAGGAUGUGCUGUACCAUGGCAGAUAAUCAGUAAGCAUCUAUUGAAAUCGCUGUGUGACCUUAGGUAAUGGGGACAGCUCAGCGUGGGAGCUGGGAGACCUGAGGUUAGCCUUCCCUGCAUGGCUAACUGUGGUGAGGCCUUGGUGGAAUCACUCUACGUGGAGUGCGAAGAGGACAGAACUGGGAAUAGGGCUUCUGAGUACAAGUCCCAGGUUCUGCCACCUACGCUCUGGGCUUCAUUUUCCCCAUCUGUGAAACGGGUUAGGUGGCAAGCCCUGCCCUGCUUUCCUCAUGGGAAGGUUGUGAAGAGCAAACGAGGUACGGGUGUGAAAGGAAUGUAUGGACAAGCAACUAUGUGCCAGCCUGGGUGCCAGGGACCCUUUGGGAAGAAAGACUUUAUUUAUUUGACAGAGAGAGACACAACGAGAGAGGGAACACAAGCAGAGGAAGUGGGAGAGAGAGAAGCAGGCUUCCCGCGGAGCAGGGAGCCCGAUGUGGGGCUCGAUCCCAGGACCCUGGGAUCAUGACCUGAGCCGAAGGCAGACGCCCAACGACUGAGCCACCCAGGCACCCUCCUUCAACUACCUUCUUUAUGGAUCUCACGAUCUGGCCUCUAGCACCAUCGUCUCAGCAACCAUCAUAAUGUAGCCCCUUAAAGUCAUUUUUUAGGGUAUAUCACAUUUGAAGACAGCGGUCAGGUACCCCUUGCUCCCCAGUAGUUAGCAAAUGCCCUAAUUCCCGCACAGACCCUUGUUCAUCUCCAUAGCUUAAGCCAGAGAAUAAUGGCGGAAUUUUAGGCAGAGUGAGGCUGUCAGGGACAGUGACAAGAGUGGAAGGUUUUCCCUGCAUCUCAAAUCACAGCAGGUUGGCCAUUCCUUCUGUGACCGCCAGACCCGAGGAGGAUGGUUAGGAGAAUCUUUCCUAAGCACUGUUCCAUUACGAGCAUUGGGUCAGAAAGAAAUUAUACAGUGAGGGCAAUUUUGAAAUGUCCUGGUGCAGAGGGUAGAACCUCCUUUCAGCCAAAUUCCUGAGCAUAACACCUUCUAUGAGGUCACCUGCUGAGAGCCGAUGGCCACUGAAGAAACUCUGCCUGAGAGUAUUUUGAGUCACAGCAUGCUUCUAAGUUUGACAAAGAAAGAAUUUCAAGAAAAUAGUGUUUUAUAUUAUUUAUUAUUACUUAUUCUAUGCCAGGCACUAGUCUAAGUGUUUUGUGACGUUGACUCGCUUACUCCCCACCACAAGCCUGUAAGAUAGUUACCAACUCCAUUUCACAGAUGUGGAAACUGAGGCUCACAGAGAGAUUAAAGGGCUUACCCCAGGCCACUUAGCUGUAAGCAGCAAAGCUGGGCUUCAAGCCUGCCUUCACUGACAGUUACGGAGCUUUAAGGGGCCCUGUGUCAGGUCCUUAACCUUAUUAGGAAACCUGGCUUUUUGUCUUUCUUCACCUGAGCAGGAGGGCUGAUACCUUGAACCAUCACUCAACUUUGGAAAAUGUUGCUGCUUCUAAGAAGCAACUCGUUAGAGCAUUUUUCUUGGCUUGACACUUCUAAAACCAUGCUCUCUUUUUCUCUGUCUUCCUGUAUCGUGUAUAUAAUAAUUACAUAUACAUGUUACACAUAUAUACAUGUAUAUAUUGAGAAACAUAAAGUGUAUUCCUAACUCAGAAUAUUUUGACUAACAGGUAUGCAAAAUACAAUAAGAAAUCACUUUUGGAAUUGAACAGGAAACACAGGAAGGAUUUCCUGCUUGGCUCAACAAAUGCGAUUGCAUCCAUAAAUACAGCCACUGGCACUUUAAUAAAUAAAAGAAUAAACACAGGACACGUGACUUCACUGGAUGGCCAUUUGCUGUUGCCAGAUGCUGAGCUAUGGACUGACAUUAGAUACGGAUGCAUAGAGCAGUUAUCACUGCAAUUAGCUGUCCGCAAACACUGGUAUUUGUUGAGUAAUAGUGGAUGUUACCGCCACUGGACAUUUUCCCUUUAUGGAUAUCAGCCGUUGGUGGGGCUGUCACUGACGGACAUUAGGUAUCGAUAGAUAUUAGGUAUCAGUGAACAUUUGCUCUCUCAUGAGCAUUAGCCAACACAGAACACUGAGCAUUGAUGCGCAAGGCCCUAUUAGCCUAUGAUGACCUCUACUGUCUUGGUGGACAUUAGGUAGGAGCAGAGGGUAGGCCUCUGGCCCAGGCAUGCUUGGCGGUCUUGGGCAUAGAAGCAUCCUGUGAGCUGGUUUGGAAGCAGUUGGUGGGUGCUAGUAUCUCAAUCUUCAUCUGUCCUCUCUGAGAGUCCUUUGGCCAUGACAAUUUGGGGAUGUCAGGGGGUGGUAUGAUAACACCCAUGGAGGGAAAUUCCUGGAUUUGAAAGAAUAAUUGGCUCCCAGAGGGAUGACAUUACAUACAAAUUUACACAGACUCUUCUGCCAUCCUGACCAACACUGGGUGUUUGCCCCUUCCUUCUCUGUAAAUGGUGUGAUUAAAGCACAACGGGGCUGGCUUCGUGGGCAGUGGGACCUUAGAAGGGCCUUGGGCUUGGUUUAAUGCUCUGCUCUUGCCAUCUUGACAUUCUCAAUAAUUUUGAAUGAGUCUCCUUAUUGUCAUUUUACACUGGGUCCCACAAAUUAUCCUGGUCACCUGCCAUGCGACCUUGGGCUGAUCUCUGGGUCUUAGUCUCCGCAUUUGUGAAAUAGGGUCACGGGGCCGGGGAGGAGGACUUUGACUUUGAUCUUCAGCUUUUCAUGCUCAAUGAUGUAGAACCAGUGGUCUGAUUGGAAGUACUUAGAAUUGCAUAACUUCCCUGAUUUAUUUUCAACAGAAAAGAGAUGGAAUCCCAGGUUUUUUUUUCGGUUUCUCAGAGCACCUCUGCUCUCUGACGUGUGGGAUCUGCACAGCUGGGCCAGCCACUGAAGUAGGACACGCAAGAUUGACUCACCAUUGGUCAGAUGAAGCCAGGCCCAGGCUGGUAUCCUCAUCUGUAUGGUGACAAUAUUACCUGGGGCAGUUGUGGUGAGGAGGAAAAUGCUAUUUGCACACCAAGUGCACGGAACACGUGUCCAGUGAGUGGCAGCUGUAUUGUCAGUGGAAUGCAAGGAAAUGUGUGGGAGCCAGUCUGUGCCAUGAUGACAAACUGUGCCUCAGUUGUCUGCCCAUCCCUAAAACUCAACUGACGUGUGCUGAAGGCCUAUUCUACGUUCGGCACCCAGAGCAAAGGUCCUGUGCAUUAGAGUAUUGUUCUGCAACUCUACAAUCCGAAACCUUUAUGACAUUCUUCAGUCCUGAGUCAGUUAUCGAAAUAUGAGUAUAAGACUACCUGAUUCUGUAAUCUAUUUCCUAAUUCUGUGGUUCGAUGAAGCUGGGACCAAGCAUUUAUUUGUGCCAGGCACGCACUGUGCUGGAUUCUUUACAGACGUUACUUCAUUUACGCAUACAAUCCCGUGGAGGGAGAUAUUUUCAUCCCCCUUCUCCAGGCUCAGAGAGGUAAAGUGAUGUGGCCAAAGUCACACAACUGGUUCGUGAUGGACCCAAGAUGUUUAAUUAAUCCUUUUCUGUGAACUCUAAAAUGGAAUCUUUGCGUUCAUCUCUGUAAUUCUGUAAGGUUCUAAUGUCACCAUUCUCGGCCCCAGGAUCCCAGGAGGGCAGACUGUAGCAGCAUGAAGACGGUGUGGCUAGGGGAUGGAA